Molecule: unclassified non-coding RNA, 335 nt
Filed under: soil metagenome
Description: partial contains 5.8S ribosomal RNA, internal transcribed spacer 2, and large subunit ribosomal RNA
Rfam family: 5.8S ribosomal RNA (bases 1-120)
Source: RNAcentral
GAUGAAGAACGUAGCGAAAUGCGAUAAGUAAUGUGAAUUGCAGAAUUCAGUGAAUCAUCGAAUCUUUGAACGCACAUUGCGCCCGCCAGUAUUCUGGCGGGCAUGCCUGUUCGAGCGUCAUUUCAACCAUCAAGCCCCCGGCUUGUGUUGGGGACCUGCGGCUGCCGCAGGCCCUGAAAACCAGUGGCAGGCUCGCUAGUCACUCCGAGCGUAGUAAUACAUCUCGCUCAGGGCGUGCUGCGGGUUCCGGCCGUUAAAAAGCCUUAUUUACCCAAGGUUGACCUCGGAUCAGGUAGGAAGACCCGCUGAACUUAAGCAUAUCAAUAAGCGGAGGA